This 54-nucleotide transfer RNA is filed under the name Cymothoa indica. RNAcentral's name for it is "tRNA-Thr". The record is from RNAcentral. Lineage: Eukaryota; Metazoa; Arthropoda; Malacostraca; Isopoda; Cymothoidae.
UCUUUUUUAGUUUAAUUAAAAUAUUAUUUUUGUAAAAUAAUGAUUCGAAAGGAG